ACACGACUCUCGGCAACGGAUAUCUAGGCUCUCGCAUCGAUGAAGAACGUAGCAAACUGCGAUACUUGGUGUGAAUUGCAGAAUCCCGUGAACCAUCGAGUCUUUGAACGCAAGUUGCGCCCGAAGCCAUUAGGCCGAGGGCACGUCUGCCUGGGCGUCACGCAUCACG
RNAcentral lists this ribosomal RNA (169 nucleotides) under Hoya anulata. RNAcentral describes it as "5.8S ribosomal RNA". It matches the Rfam family "5.8S ribosomal RNA". Rfam says of the family: 5.8S ribosomal RNA (5.8S rRNA) is a component of the large subunit of the eukaryotic ribosome. It is transcribed by RNA polymerase I as part of the 45S precursor that also contains 18S and 28S rRNA. Lineage: Eukaryota; Viridiplantae; Streptophyta; Magnoliopsida; Gentianales; Apocynaceae. The record is from RNAcentral.